Molecule: long non-coding RNA, 390 nt
Filed under: Dromaius novaehollandiae (emu)
Lineage: Eukaryota; Metazoa; Chordata; Aves; Casuariiformes; Dromaiidae
Description: lncRNA (ENSDNVG00000012412.1)
Source: RNAcentral
UUAUUCCGCAUUUCUUAGUGGUACCUUCUAAAAAGACACUGUUUCCAGCAGGAUGAGUAGAAAAAUUGGACCUGGGACUCUUGAGCUCUUACCUCUGCCUUGGGAACAGGGAUGGUGCAAGGUGCUGAGCCGGGGACCCAGGAGCCUGCAGGCCUUGCCCUGCCAAAGGAGGGCAGAAUUCGAUCUUCAUAGUUGUGAAGGGCUGACAGCACUAAAAGUAGAGUGGAGAGAAAAAGUACCAGGGCUACUUUGAUUUUUUGGAUCUGGAGCCAAAACAAAAUUCUUCCGUUCUCACCUCAUCCUGACCUGCAGAGUUCAUCCUUCCUGGAUUUCACAGGAGCUAGUGUUAUCUCUGCUUUUCUGGCCAAGGUAAGCAAUACACAGUAAUAC